AUUUAUGGCUAUGCCACCCUGAACGUGCCCGAUCUCAUCUGAUCUCAGAAGUUAAACAGGGUCAGGCCUGGUUAGCACUUGGAUAGGAGACCACCUAAGAAUACCAGGUGCUGUAGGCG
This 119-nucleotide ribosomal RNA is filed under the name Pteropus alecto (black flying fox). Lineage: Eukaryota; Metazoa; Chordata; Mammalia; Chiroptera; Pteropodidae. The record is from RNAcentral.